This 490-nucleotide ribosomal RNA is filed under the name uncultured bacterium. RNAcentral describes it as "SSU rRNA". It matches the Rfam family "Bacterial small subunit ribosomal RNA", at positions 26 to 518 of the family's 1533-position model. The record is from RNAcentral.
AGAACGAACGCUGGCGGCGUGCCUAACACAUGCAAGUCGAACGAGAAAGGGACUUCGGUCCUGAGUAAAGUGGCGCACGGGUGAGUAACACGUAGGUAACCUGCCUCUAAGAUUGGGAUAACCUGUCGAAAGACGAGCUAAUACCGAAUAAGACCACGAUUCCCUCGGAGAUUGAGGUCAAAGGUAGCCUCUACUUGUAAGCUAUCACUUAGAGAUGGGCCUGCGUACCAUUAGCUAGUUGGUGGGGUAACGGCCUACCAAGGCUAAGAUGGUUAGCUGGUCUGAGAGGAUGAUCAGCCACACUGGAACUGAGACACGGUCCAGACUCCUACGGGAGGCAGCAGUGGGGAAUAUUGGACAAUGGGCGCAAGCCUGAUCCAGCCAUGCCGCGUGGAUGAUGAAGGCCUUAGGGUUGUAAAGUCCUUUUAACGGGGAAGAUAAUGACGGUACCCGUAGAAUAAGCCCCGGCUAACUUCGUGCCAGCAGCCGC